UACGUAGGGUGCAAGCGUUAAUCGGAAUUACUGGGCGUAAAGCGCGUGUAGGCGGCCCUGCAAGUCGGGUGUGAAAUCCCACGGCUCAACCGUGGACACGCCUUCGAAACUGUGAAGCUUGAGGCUGGGAGAGGAGAUCGGAAUUCCUGGUGUAGCGGUGAAAUGCGUAGAUAUCAGGAGGAACACCGGUGGCGAAGGCGGAUCUCUGGACCAGUUCUGACACUGAUGAGCGAAAGCCAGGGGAGCAAACAGG
This 253-nucleotide ribosomal RNA is filed under the name uncultured bacterium. RNAcentral describes it as "partial 16S ribosomal RNA". It matches the Rfam family "Bacterial small subunit ribosomal RNA", at positions 524 to 776 of the family's 1533-position model. The record is from RNAcentral.